UAUAUGUUCAAUCCAGUGUUUUUCACUCAUUUUUACUGUCCUAAAGAAUCUUCCCAUUAGAAGCGAAAGCUUGCCAUAACGUAAGAAAGGUCUAGUUAAAUAAGAAGUGUUAAUUAUUGUGGAGAAUAUCAAAGGUUCUCAUUUGUAUAAGCUUAAUGAUAGUGUUUCUCACAUCAAAUUAAACAGAUCAAACCAAUUGUCGUAUUCGACAUUCUGUGAAAUCUGUAAACAAGGUGUGACAGAAUAAAGUGUGUUACUUAAUUA
Long non-coding RNA from Leptinotarsa decemlineata (Colorado potato beetle), 264 nucleotides. RefSeq lists it as uncharacterized. NCBI's taxonomy places the organism in Eukaryota, Metazoa, Arthropoda, Insecta, Coleoptera, Chrysomelidae. The record is from RefSeq and is a predicted model, not a curated record.